AUUUCCGAUGAGGAGGUUCUCGGCUACAUGCUCGCUGGUCUGGGCUCAGAAUAUGAGCCCCUUGUUGCUUCAAUCACGGCGCGUGAUGAGCCAAUGAGCCUCGCUAGUUUCUAUGCGUAUUUGCUUAGCGUCGAGC
Molecule: small nucleolar RNA, 136 nt
Filed under: Triticum aestivum (bread wheat)
Lineage: Eukaryota; Viridiplantae; Streptophyta; Magnoliopsida; Poales; Poaceae
Description: Small nucleolar RNA Z247
Rfam family: Small nucleolar RNA Z247
About the family: Z247 is a member of the C/D class of snoRNA which contain the C (UGAUGA) and D (CUGA) box motifs. Most of the members of the box C/D family function in directing site-specific 2'-O-methylation of substrate RNAs.
Source: Rfam by way of RNAcentral